UGGGCAACCUGCCCCUCUCUCUGGGAUAACCCCGGGAAACCGGAGCUAAUACCGGAUACUCCGGCUGGAUCGCAUGGUCCGGCCGGGAAAGGUCCGCCGGAGAAGGAUGGGCCCGCGGCCUAUCAGCUUGUUGGUGGGGUCAUGGCUCACCAAGGCGACGACGGGUAGCUGGUCUGAGAGGACGACCAGCCACACUGGAACUGAGAUACGGUCCAGACUCCGUACGGGAGGCA
RNAcentral lists this ribosomal RNA (233 nucleotides) under uncultured bacterium. RNAcentral describes it as "partial 16S ribosomal RNA". It matches the Rfam family "Bacterial small subunit ribosomal RNA", at positions 118 to 350 of the family's 1533-position model. The record is from RNAcentral.